This 253-nucleotide ribosomal RNA is filed under the name uncultured bacterium. Its description in RNAcentral is "partial 16S ribosomal RNA". It matches the Rfam family "Bacterial small subunit ribosomal RNA", at positions 524 to 776 of the family's 1533-position model. The record is from RNAcentral.
UACGUAGGGUGCGAGCGUUGUCCGGAAUUAUUGGGCGUAAAGAGCUCGUAGGCGGUCUGUCGCGUCGGCUGUGAAAACCUGGGGCUCAACUCCAGGCCUGCAGCCGAUACGGGCAGGCUAGAGUUCGGUAGGGGAGACUGGAAUUCCUGGUGUAGCGGUGAAAUGCGCAGAUAUCAGGAGGAACACCGGUGGCGAAGGCGGGUCUCUGGGCCGAUACUGACGCUGAGGAGCGAAAGCGUGGGGAGCGAACAGG